CGGCGUGUGGCGCAGCCUGGUAGCGCACUUCGUUCGGGACGAAGGGGUCGCAGGUUCGAAUCCUGCCACGCCGA
RNAcentral lists this transfer RNA (74 nucleotides) under Marinobacter lutaoensis. It matches the Rfam family "tRNA". From Rfam's summary of the family: Transfer RNA (tRNA) molecules are approximately 80 nucleotides in length. Their secondary structure includes four short double-helical elements and three loops (D, anti-codon, and T loops). Lineage: Bacteria; Pseudomonadati; Pseudomonadota; Gammaproteobacteria; Pseudomonadales; Marinobacteraceae. The record is from Rfam by way of RNAcentral.